This 254-nucleotide ribosomal RNA is filed under the name uncultured bacterium. RNAcentral describes it as "partial 16S ribosomal RNA". It matches the Rfam family "Bacterial small subunit ribosomal RNA", at positions 524 to 776 of the family's 1533-position model. The record is from RNAcentral.
GACGUAGGGCGCGAGCGUUGUCCGGAUUUAUUGGGCGUAAAGAGCUCGUAGGCGGUCUGUCGCGUCGAUCGUGAAAACUUGGGGCUUAACCCUGAGCUUGCGGUCGAUACGGGCAUGACUGGAGUUCGGCAGGGGAGACUGGAAUUCCUGGUGUAGCGGUGAAAUGCGCAGAUAUCAGGAGGAACACCGGUGGCGAAGGCGGCCAUCUGGACGGAUACUGACGCUGAGACGCGAAAGCGUGGGUAGCAAACAGG